AUAUUAUUCACUCUCAUUACCAUAUAUCUUCUUCAUUGCUAGCCUUCUAGCCCUCGCUAAUGAAGCGUCCCCAUCCUUUAGGACCCAAAUGUGAUACAAUUACUAGUUCUAGGAGCCUAGUAAUCACAUUUAUUUCAUCGGAUGGAAUAGUAAACAUUACAAUACCAAAGGGAAGCUCAGAGGAGCUAAGGAAAAGAGAAGUGAGAACCAGUCCCUAGCCACAUGUAGUCUGGGUGCAGAUCGAUGCAGCCCCUUCUAGUAGAAUAAAGCGGUAAUGAAGUCUUUAGCCACUGAAAAACAUGUAAAGAGAUGUGUGAAUACUUUCAUAUUCCGCAAGCCCAUUCUAGCUCGUAAACAGAGAAAGACCUGUAUUGUACAUGCUUGAUAUGGUGGAGUUGCAAGUCACUGUUUAUUUUUCUUAGAAAAGGCAAUAUUUUGGCAUUCCCCAGAAUGGAAGAGAGAAGAGCAUAACUUUGACUCAAUCACCACUGAGCUUCCAGCUCCCGUGGCAUAAUUUUUCUUUCCAAAACACACACACGUUUUCCUCUCCCCCUUUUUUUGAAAACAAGAUGCUAAUUGUCAUACCACACCAAAUUCGUCCAUAUCAGUGGACACGGACUAUUCGAAUAGAUUUUUACACCUUACCCACUAGUCUGGCUCUACGAUCUCAUGGCUAAUGAGACCCGAAUCUGAAACUCUCUCCUUCUUUGCAUGACAUUACCUUAACGGUUAUACCGAAAGGAACAAGGCCACCUCCUUGCCCAAACCAGGACAUAAUCAUUCUCCCUCCUUGUCCUUCCGGUGCUCCCCAGCCACCGAUAACCCUGGGGUGCAAACUGUGCAAGUUUAGAUCAAGUGACUAUCCUUACAGUGUCCAAUGGUUGUACUUGAUAUGAGUAUAUGUAGUAAAAGAUGACAAAUCGGUCCUUAUACAAGAUGGGACAAUCCUUCAUGCUCACACCUAACCCAGCUGAACCAACUCCUUUGGGGCCCUCCCAAACCAGGGAGUCCUGAUCAUCCGACUCAAAGGUGACAAGGGUGAUGACCCUUCAUCAUACCCAUUUUGAAAAACAUUUUCUUUUGAAAACACAACCCAUAUACCACAUUUCUCUUGAAACAAAAAUGUGUGUUUAAUGUAGGAUUAACCUCAUCUCACGUAUGCAUAAAAAUCAUCCCCAUGAUCCUAGCUUAGGUAGAGGUAGAAAGCGUAGGUAAUUUAUGCAUCAAGGGUAGAAUGAACUUGCCAUCAUCGAAGCUCUCGUGACAUGAAGGUUCUAUUUCUGUGAGGUCAGGCUCCUGCCCUUCUUCUGUAGCUAGGUUUUCCUGGACGCCGAUCACUGCUUCCUCUAGCAAAAACAUCCAAUAAACAAUACAUCAACCAAUGUCUUGGUAGGAAAAGGUGUGUCAUAAUAUUGUGAUUAUUAUUUUAUGUGCCCUAUAAUGUGCAUGCACUAUUAUUUGUGUAUUUUGCCAAAAUACAUAUAUAUAUAUACAUGUGUAUAAAGAGAAAAUAGGAAUUAGAAAACAAAAAGGGUUUCUUGGCUUGGUGGGCCUAGUGGGUGCAAUCUGGCCCAGCCAGACACGACGUGCGGGCAGGCGAGCGCGAGUGUGCGGCCCAGCCGGCCCACGGGGAGGGGACAGUACGGGCAACGGCGUGACGGGCCUAGGCCCACGCGUCAGAGGGAAGGGGGUGGGAUUGACGUCUGGUGACUAGGGACGGGGGUGAACUAGUUGGGGGAUGAACCGGCCACGGGCGAGGCUCACGACGAUUCUUCAUCGUGGCUCCGGUUCCUAGGCAUCGGUGGAGUGUGCUAGUUCGGGGAGGAGUGUGCGAUCAUGGGGGUAGGACCAAUUUGGUCGGUGGCGAACUUGGAAUGGUUAACCACGGCAGGGCGGAGAGUCACCUUGGCGGUGAUGCCACCGGCGAGGUGGCAGGGUGAUCGAGUUUGGGAGAGGUGCAUUUUUCUCGCAAGGAUGCAGUGAAGCUUGUGCGAUAAUUUGAUUUCUCUCUAGAUGGCUGGAGGGGAGGAUGGGGACCUCACCGAAGCUGAGGAGGGCAACGACGGCUGCUCUAAUUGGGGUCAGGGGAGGAGAGGAAGAGGGGCGGUGUGUGGUG
Molecule: long non-coding RNA, 2116 nt
Filed under: Zea mays
Lineage: Eukaryota; Viridiplantae; Streptophyta; Magnoliopsida; Poales; Poaceae
Description: long non-coding RNA (ZMAY_LNC001899)
Source: RNAcentral